UACAGAGGGGGCAAGCGUUGUUCGGAAUUACUGGGCGUAAAGGGCGCGUAGGCGGCCGCCUAAGUCAGACGUGAAAUCCCUCGGCUCAACCGGGGAACUGCGUCUGAUACUGGGUGGCUUGAAUCCGGGAGAGGGAUGCGGAAUUCCAGGUGUAGCGGUGAAAUGCGUAGAUAUCUGGGGGAACACCGGUGGCGAAGGCGGCAUCCUGGACCGGCAUUGACGCUGAGGCGCGAAAGCGCGGGGAGCGAACGGG
This 253-nucleotide ribosomal RNA is filed under the name uncultured bacterium. Its description in RNAcentral is "partial 16S ribosomal RNA". It matches the Rfam family "Bacterial small subunit ribosomal RNA", at positions 524 to 776 of the family's 1533-position model. The record is from RNAcentral.